UGGGGAAUUUUGGACAAUGGGCGCAAGCCUGAUCCAGCCAUGCCGCGUGCGGGAAGAAGGCCUUCGGGUUGUAAACCGCUUUUGUCAGGGAAGAAAUCUUCUGAGUUAAUACCUCGGGAGGAUGACGGUACCUGAAGAAUAAGCACCGGCUAACUACGUGCCAGCAGCCGCGGUAAUACGUAGGGUGCAAGCGUUAAUCGGAAUUACUGGGCGUAAAGCGUGCGCAGGCGGUUUUGUAAGACAGAGGUGAAAUCCCCGGGCUCAACCUGGGAACUGCCUUUGUGACUGCAAGGCUUGAGUGCGGCAGAGGGGGGAUGGAAUUCCGCGUGUAGCAGUGAAAUGCGUAGAUAUGCGGAGGAACACCGUGGCGAAGGCAAUCCCCUGGGCCUGCACUGACGGCUCAUGCACGAAACGUGGGGAGCAAACAGGAUUAGA
RNAcentral lists this ribosomal RNA (435 nucleotides) under uncultured bacterium. RNAcentral's name for it is "partial 16S ribosomal RNA". It matches the Rfam family "Bacterial small subunit ribosomal RNA", at positions 355 to 782 of the family's 1533-position model. The record is from RNAcentral.